AGAGUUUGAUCCUGGCUCAGAUUGAACGCUGGCGGCAUGCCUUACACAUGCAAGUCGAACGGCAGCACGGGAGCAAUCCUGGUGGCGAGUGGCGAACGGGUGAGUAAUAUAUCGGAACGUGCCCAGUCGUGGGGGAUAACGUAGCGAAAGCUACGCUAAUACCGCAUACGAUCUAUGGAUGAAAGCGGGGGAUCGCAAGACCUCGCGCGAUUGGAGCGGCCGAUAUCAGAUUAGCUAGUUGGUGGGGUAAAGGCCCACCAAGGCGACGAUCUGUAGCUGGUCUGAGAGGACGACCAGCCACACUGGAACUGAGACACGGUCCAGACUCCUACGGGAGGCAGCAGUGGGGAAUUUUGGACAAUGGGCGCAAGCCUGAUCCAGCAAUGCCGCGUGCAGGACGAAGG
Molecule: ribosomal RNA, 404 nt
Filed under: uncultured bacterium
Lineage: Bacteria
Description: bacterial SSU rRNA
Rfam family: Bacterial small subunit ribosomal RNA
Source: RNAcentral